GUGUCAGCAGCCGCGGUAAUACGUAGGUGGCAAGCGUUGUCCGGAAUCACUGGGCGUAAAGCGCGCGCAGGCGGCAAUCUACGUCUGGGGUGAAAGCCCGGGGCUCAACCUCGGGACUGCCUUGGAUACGGGAUUGCUUGAGGAUCGGAGAGGCAAGGGGAAUUCCACGUGUAGCGGUGAAAUGCGUAGAUAUGUGGAGGAACACCAGUGGCGAAGGCGCCUUGCUGGCCGAUUUCUGACGCUGAGGCGCGAAAGCGUGGGGAGCAAACAGGAUUAGAAACCCUGGUAGUCC
This 292-nucleotide ribosomal RNA is filed under the name uncultured bacterium. RNAcentral's name for it is "partial 16S ribosomal RNA". It matches the Rfam family "Bacterial small subunit ribosomal RNA", at positions 505 to 796 of the family's 1533-position model. The record is from RNAcentral.